GGGAAGGAACCCAACCUGAGAAUCAAGGUGACCCACCAAGCGGUACCUUCAGAUUCCAUUUAACUCCUUCCUGGCUGCACCUCCAGGAGCAGACAGAGCAGAAAGGUGGGGUAAGAGACACCCCAGCGGAACUUCAGCUUGUGCAACUUAGAGCUGCACAAGUCUCUGCUGAGAGUGGGUGUGGGCGUGGGGGCCUGGCCAGGGUCCUCGGGGACAUGGAAACCGCGCCCCAGCUCCUAGGGCCUCCAUUGGAGAACACCCGGAAGUCCUGGCUGCUGGCCACCAUUCUAUGAUGAAACCCAGUUUGAAAACCGCUCAGCUUGGAAGUUCCAAUUGUUGUGUUACAGUUGUUGAUUCAGAGAAAGGCCUUCAAGAACCAAGCCUGUUUGGCUAUUCCGGGUCCCGGGAAGCUCUCUACUCUACACAGCUGGAAUUCUGGUGAGAGCUGCUCUGGACUGUGGUGAAUGGAAGUGUGACGAGGGGACACUCUUGCCUUGUUCCUGACCUCAUGGGGCGUAUCCAGCCAUUCGGGAAGAUUAGCUCUCCGCUUUCCACACAUGCCACUUUCGAAGUUGAUGAAGUUCUUUCUGGGGGAGUAUGGGUUUUGUCAAAUGCAUUUUCUGGACCUGUGGAAAAGCCUAUGUGAUAUUUUUAUUCUAUUGAUAUAAUGCUGUGUAUUGUUUUUUGGAUGGUAAGUCAACCUUGCUUCUCCGCAGUAACUCUCACUUGGUCAUGAUAUAUAUAAUCUCUCUGAUAUGUUGCUAGAUUUUGGUUGCUUGUUUUGUUGUUGUUGUUGUUGUUGUUGUUUUGUGGGGUUUUUGCCAGUCAGGGUCUCUCUUUCUAGCACUUGCUGGCCUAGAACUUGCUAUGUGGACCAGGUUGCCUUGGAACUCACAGAGAUCCAUCUG
Molecule: long non-coding RNA, 908 nt
Organism: Mus pahari (shrew mouse)
Lineage: Eukaryota; Metazoa; Chordata; Mammalia; Rodentia; Muridae
Exons: 3
Source: RefSeq, a predicted model, not a curated record